RNAcentral lists this ribosomal RNA (406 nucleotides) under uncultured bacterium. Its description in RNAcentral is "partial 16S ribosomal RNA". It matches the Rfam family "Bacterial small subunit ribosomal RNA", at positions 30 to 526 of the family's 1533-position model. The record is from RNAcentral.
AUUGAACGCUGGCGGCAGGCCUAACACAUGCAAGUCGAACGAGUGGCGGACGGGUGAGUAAUGUCUGGGAAACUGCCUGAUGGAGGGGGAUAACUACUGGAAACGGUAGCUAAUACCGCAUACCAUCGGAUGUGCCCAGAUGGGAUUAGCUAGUAGGUGGGGUAAAGGCUCACCUAGUCGACGAUCCCUAGCUGGUCUUAGAGGAUGACCAGACACGCUGGAACAGAGGCACGGACCAAACUCCUACGCGAGGCAGGAGUGGGGAAGAUGGCACUAUUGGCGCAAGCCUGAUGCAGCCAUGCCGCGUGUAUGAUGAAGGCCUUCGGGUUGUAAAGUACUUUCAGCGGGGAGGCGUUACCCGCAGAAGAAGCACCAGCUAACUCCGUGCCAGCAGCCGCGGUAAUUC